RNAcentral lists this ribosomal RNA (516 nucleotides) under uncultured fungus. Its description in RNAcentral is "eukaryotic LSU rRNA". The stretch from base 194 to 347 matches the Rfam family "5.8S ribosomal RNA". Lineage: Eukaryota; Fungi. The record is from RNAcentral.
UAGGUGAACCUGCGGAAGGAUCAUUACAGAGUUCAUGCCCUUUAGGGUAGACCUCCCACCCUUGAGUACUAUACUUUUGUUGCUUUGGCAGGCCCGUCGGGUUCACGCCUGGCUACCGGCUCCGGCUGGUAAGUGUCUGCCAGAGGACCUAAACUCUGAAUUUUACGUCGUCUGAGUACUAUAUAAUAGUUAAAACUUUCAACAACGGAUCUCUUGGUUCUGGCAUCGAUGAAGAACGCAGCGAAAUGCGAUAAGUAAUGUGAAUUGCAGAAUUCAGUGAAUCAUCGAAUCUUUGAACGCACAUUGCGCCCUUUGGUAUUCCGAGGGGCAUGCCCGUUCGAGCGUCAUCAACACCAUCAAGCCUGGCUUGGUAUUGGGCCCCGCCUGUAACACGGCCGGCUUUAAAAUUAGUGGCGGUGCCGCCUGGCUCUAAGCGUAGUAACUUUUCUCGCUAUUGUGCCCGGCGGUUGCUUGCCAACAACCCCUAAUUUAAUAGGUUUGACCUCGGAUCGGGUA